Molecule: ribosomal RNA, 433 nt
Filed under: uncultured bacterium
Lineage: Bacteria
Description: partial 16S ribosomal RNA
Rfam family: Bacterial small subunit ribosomal RNA
Source: RNAcentral
AGCGAACGCUGGCGGCAGGCCUAACACAUGCAAGUCGAACGAACUCUUCGGAGUUAGUGGCGGACGGGUGAGUAACACGUGGGAACGUGCCUUUUGGUUCGGAAUAACUCAGGGAAACUUGUGCUAAUACCGAAUGUGCCCUUCGGGGGAAAGAUUUAUCGCCAUUAGAGCGGCCCGCGUCUGAUUAGCUAGUUGGUGAGGUAACUGCUCACCAAGGCGACGAUCAGUAGCUGGUCUGAGAGGAUGACCAGCCACACUGGGACUGAGACACGGCCCAGACUCCUACGGGAGGCAGCAGUGGGGAAUCUUGCGCAAUGGGCGAAAGCCUGACGCAGCCAUGCCGCGUGAAUGAUGAAGGUCUUAGGAUUGUAAAAUUCUUUCACCGGGGACGAUAAUGACGGUACCCGGAGAAGAAGCCCCGGCUAACUUCGUG